Molecule: transfer RNA, 83 nt
Filed under: Deltaproteobacteria bacterium
Lineage: Bacteria; Pseudomonadati; Myxococcota; Myxococcia
Description: tRNA-Leu
Rfam family: tRNA
About the family: Transfer RNA (tRNA) molecules are approximately 80 nucleotides in length. Their secondary structure includes four short double-helical elements and three loops (D, anti-codon, and T loops). Further hydrogen bonds mediate the characteristic L-shaped molecular structure. tRNAs have two regions of fundamental functional importance: the anti-codon, which is responsible for specific mRNA codon recognition, and the 3' end, to which the tRNAs corresponding amino acid is attached (by aminoacyl-tRNA synthetases). tRNAs cope with the degeneracy of the genetic code in two manners: having more than one tRNA (with a specific anti-codon) for a particular amino acid; and 'wobble' base-pairing, i.e. permitting non-standard base-pairing at the 3rd anti-codon position.
Source: RNAcentral
GCGAGAGUGGCGGAAAUGGCAGACGCGCUGGACUUAGGAUCCAGUGGUUCACAGCCGUGUGGGUUCGACUCCCACCUCUCGCA